GAAAAGCCAACAGAAAGCUUGCUGGAAGAUAAAAGAACACACGUGGAAGUGGCUGCAAAUCCAGUUCACCAUUCAGCUCACCUGGGACAUCCUGGCACCAGUCUGGUUCUGAACAGAAGUCCAGUAGGAAGCAUCCCCAGCUCACCCAUAGGAGCAGAACCAUUGAUGAACAGGAUUUCCUCUUCUGCAGUCAGGUACAAGUGGGAACUGGAUGAAUUUGUCUCUGAAGAACCUGGACAUGGUAAUGUGUCAUGGUAGAACACUGAUGAACUUGAAACUACAUCUUUGGGAGCUUAUUCCAUACCUUGUGAUGGAUCAGAAGAGAUGAAAAUAUGUUUCUGUCAGUCUGAAUAAAUGUUCUGAGUCUCUUGGAUGGAUGACAGCCCUGGUGCCCUUCCCUGGUGGUUUUUUGAUGCGUAGUCC
This is a long non-coding RNA of Calypte anna (Anna's hummingbird), 423 nucleotides long. RefSeq lists it as uncharacterized. The transcript has 3 exons. The record is from RefSeq and is a predicted model, not a curated record. Lineage: Eukaryota; Metazoa; Chordata; Aves; Apodiformes; Trochilidae.